RNAcentral lists this long non-coding RNA (400 nucleotides) under Dermacentor andersoni. RNAcentral's name for it is "uncharacterized LOC126548541". Lineage: Eukaryota; Metazoa; Arthropoda; Arachnida; Ixodida; Ixodidae. The record is from RNAcentral.
AAAAAAAAAGAGGCUUUAUAUGAGAACGGAUCAAGCGUUCGAGAGUUGGGACAGGGAAAUGAAACACUGGAACGACACUGCUUAAAUUGAAGCACAGUGUGCGAAUGACCUGCUGCGCGCUCGGAACUGUUAUCACCAUUUGGGAAGAAAUCAGAUGAAAAAACAAAACUGUAAAUACCCAGUACUGUACGAUAUACGUCUGGUGCAUUGCAGGUAAGAAUGGAUUGUGUGUGGCACUUCUCCGCAUGUGGACUAGAGUAGAUCUAGGAACAUCAGACAAGAAGAAACGUACGUGAAACCCUGCGGACAGCCCAUAUGCAAGUUGUUCCUCAAUUUUUCUGUUGUUGCAUUUUCGUAGUUUACGUGUAAUACUUUGUCACCGCCGUCUCGCCGUUAUGUA